Molecule: long non-coding RNA, 378 nt
Filed under: Rattus norvegicus (Norway rat)
Lineage: Eukaryota; Metazoa; Chordata; Mammalia; Rodentia; Muridae
Description: long non-coding RNA NONRATT001216
Source: RNAcentral
ACAAUCCCUCACAGUACACAGCAGUCAUUACCCACAACCCCCACGGUACACAGCAGUCAUUACCCACAGUCCUUCAUGUCACACAGCAGUCAUCACCCACAAUCCCUCUUGGUACACAGCAGUCAUUACCCACAGUCCCUCACAGCACACAGCAGUCAUUACCCACAGUCCUUCAUAGCACACAGCAGUCAUCCCCCACAGUCCUUCAUAGUACACAGCAGUCAUCACCCACAAUCCCUCAUGGUACAUAGCAGUCAUUACCCACAGUUCCCCACAGUGCACAGCAGUCAUUACCCACAGUCCCCCGCAGUGCACAGCAGUCAAUACCCACAACGCCGACUGUAUACAGCAAAUACAGUAUUUAUAGAUGGAAAACAG